Molecule: ribosomal RNA, 465 nt
Filed under: Vreelandella stevensii
Lineage: Bacteria; Pseudomonadati; Pseudomonadota; Gammaproteobacteria; Oceanospirillales; Halomonadaceae
Description: partial 16S ribosomal RNA
Rfam family: Bacterial small subunit ribosomal RNA
Source: RNAcentral
CCUACGGGGGGCAGCAGUGGGGAAUAUUGGACAAUGGGGGGAACCCUGAUCCAGCCAUGCCGCGUGUGUGAAGAAGGCCCUCGGGUUGUAAAGCACUUUCAGUGAGGAAGAACGCCUGGUGGUUAAUACCCAUCAGGAAAGACAUCACUCACAGAAGAAGCACCGGCUAACUCCGUGCCAGCAGCCGCGGUAAUACGGAGGGUGCGAGCGUUAAUCGGAAUUACUGGGCGUAAAGCGCGCGUAGGUGGCUUGAUAAGCCGGUUGUGAAAGCCCCGGGCUCAACCUGGGAACGGCAUCCGGAACUGUCAAGCUAGAGUGCAGGAGAGGAAGGUAGAAUUCCCGGUGUAGCGGUGAAAUGCGUAGAGAUCGGGAGGAAUACCAGUGGCGAAGGCGGCCUUCUGGACUGACACUGACACUGAGGUGCGAAAGCGUGGGUAGCAAACAGGAUUAGAUACCCGGGUAGUC